AAAAAUCUAUAUCACAUAACUUAUUAGGAAGGCAAUUAAACAAAACCCAUGCACUAACCACAAUCUAUACAAGCAUAACCCCAAGAUAAAGAAUUAGCUGCACAAAGGGAGAGAUAGUAAGAUCAAUCCUUAGAAAAUACAGAGAAUGCAAAAUUCAAGCUUUGUUUUCAAUAAAUAUUCAAAGGAAACCACCAAUUCUUUACUUGAGAUUAACUUCAAAUAACGUUUAAUGAUGGUAGAAAUAAGCUUAAAACCCCCUUUUGACCCCAAAUUCAUAUUUUUAUAAUUAUUAAAAAAUGCGACAACACUCUUAAUCCGCUUGAACAAAUCCAGAGCAAAUCUAGAGUGGAUCCAGGACAGAUCAAGAGAAGAUCCAUAGAAUAUUGGGCGCAUAUGUGGUUAUUUUGGCCAUCUUGGCUACCCGCUUGUGCAAGUGGCCUCCCGACACAUCCAUGAAACCUUUAGGGAUCUUUUUAUAUCAUAUUUCACCACCCAUUGUCUAAUGGAUUUCGCUCUUCAAUUUCAACCUUUACCUUCACAAAUGAGAAUUAUAGAUGAGAUUAACACCAAAUCAAUAAAAAGCCUUAUAAUUUAUGCUUAAAAGGUGCUAACAUGUCG
This 618-nucleotide long non-coding RNA is filed under the name Capsicum annuum. RNAcentral's name for it is "long non-coding RNA (CANN_LNC017372)". The record is from RNAcentral. Lineage: Eukaryota; Viridiplantae; Streptophyta; Magnoliopsida; Solanales; Solanaceae.